UCGAUUUGGAGUUUGUUGCCUAGAGUGAUGGGCUCCGAAGCUAACGCGAUAAAUCGACCGCCUGGGGAGUACGGCCGCAAGGUUAAAACUCAAAUGAAUUGACGGGGGCCCGCACAAGCGGUGGAGCAUGUGGUUUAAUUCGAUGCAACGCGAAGAACCUUACCUGGUCUUGACAUCCACAGAAUCUUGCAGAGAUGCGAGAGUGCCUUCGGGAACUGUGAGACAGGCGCUGCAUGGCUGUCGUCAGCUCGUGUUGUGAAAUGUUGGGUUAAGUCCCGCAACGAGCGCAACCCUUAUCCUUUGUUGCCAUUGGUUCGGCCGGGAACUCAAAGGAGACUGCCGUUGAUAAAGCGGAGGAAGGUGGGGACGACGUCAAGUCAUCAUGGCCCUUACGACCAGGGCUACACACGUGCUACAAUGGCGUAUACAAAGGGAGGCGACCUCGCGAGAGCAAGCGGACCUCAUAAAGUACGUCUAAGUCCGGAUUGGAGUCUGCAACUCGACUCCAUGAAGUCGGAAUCGCUAGUAAUCGUGAAUCAGAAUGUCACGGUGAAUACGUUCCCGGGCCU
RNAcentral lists this ribosomal RNA (569 nucleotides) under uncultured Gammaproteobacteria bacterium. Its description in RNAcentral is "bacterial SSU rRNA". It matches the Rfam family "Bacterial small subunit ribosomal RNA", at positions 812 to 1381 of the family's 1533-position model. The record is from RNAcentral. Lineage: Bacteria; Pseudomonadati; Pseudomonadota; Gammaproteobacteria.